GAUGAACGCUGGCGGCGUGCUUAACACACGCAAGUCGAACGAAGCAUUUGCGACAGAUUUUUUCGGAAUGAAGUUGCUUAUGACUGAGUGGCGGACGGGUGAGUAACGCGUGGGUAACCUGCCUUGUACUGGGGGAUAGCAGCUGGAAACGGCUAGUAAUACCGCAUAAGCGCACAAUGUUGCAUGACAUGGUGUGAAAAACUCCGGUGGUAUAAGAUGGACCCGCGUCUGAUUAGCUAGUUGGUGAGAUAACAGCCCACCAAGGCGACGAUCAGUAGCCGACCUGAGAGGGUGACCGGCCACAUUGGGACUGAGACACGGCCCAGACUCCUACGGGAGGCAGCAGUGGGGAAUAUUGCACAAUGGAGGAAACUCUGAUGCAGCGACGCCGCGUGAGUGAAGAAGUAAUUCGUUAUGUAAAGCUCUAUCAGCAGGGAAGAUAGUGACGGUACCUGACUAAGAAGCUCCGGCUAAAUACGUG
Molecule: ribosomal RNA, 481 nt
Filed under: uncultured bacterium
Lineage: Bacteria
Description: partial 16S ribosomal RNA
Rfam family: Bacterial small subunit ribosomal RNA
Source: RNAcentral